CGUUAGUAGUAGCAGAAAGGUUAUUAGGGAUAAGCUUAAUAUCUGAUUGUUAUAUAGGUUAGAAGACUAGGUUAGAGAAGGAUUAAUAGUGUCUUUAGGUUUUGUAACCGAUUAGUAGUUAUUUUUAUUAAUGGAGUAUAUGAGGGUGUCUUGAAAUCUUUUUUGUUAGUAAUAAUGGUAGAAUUAGUAGAUUAGCUUAUAGUUUCUAAUUUAGGUGUUUAAAUUGAAGUAUGCGAGUGUCUAGUUUUUGGUAAGGAACUCGGCAAAAAUUUCUCUUAACUGUUUAUCAAAAACAUUUCUUUAAGGAAGGAUUUAAAGUAUGUUCUGCCCCCUGAUUAAUCUAUUAAAGGGCCGCAGUAGCCUGACUGUGCUAAGGUAGCAUAAUCAUUAGGUUUUUGAUUGGGAUCUGGAAUGAAUGAAUGAAUAAGGGGGAGCUGUCUACCAACAGAGUUUGAAAUUAAAUUUUUAGUAAGAAUGCUAGAAUCUUUCAGUGGGACGAUAAGACCCUAUAAAGCUUUACUAAUCUUUAGUAAAAAUUUUUACUACUUUUAUGAAGGGUUUAGUUUUACUGGGGCGGUAGCUAAUCAACUUAGCUAAUUUUCUUUUAUUGUGGAUCCAUCUUUGGUGAAGUAAGAUUAAGUUACUUUAGGGAUAACAGCAUAAUAUACUUAUGGAGUUCUAAUCGAAGGGUAUGAUUGUGACCUCGAUGUUGAAUUAACCUAAUUGUAAGGUGAAGAAGCUUUACGAGUUAGUCUGUUCGACUAUUGAAGGGUUACGUGAUUUGAGUUCAAACCGGUUUAAGCCAGGUUGGUUUCUAUCUACUGAGUUUAAAAAGUCUCUUAGUACGAAAGGACCAGAGACGUUAGAAUUUCUAUUUAAGUAUUAUUUAACUAACUUUAGGUAUA
Molecule: ribosomal RNA, 905 nt
Filed under: Leiobunum vittatum
Lineage: Eukaryota; Metazoa; Arthropoda; Arachnida; Opiliones; Sclerosomatidae
Description: 16S ribosomal RNA
Rfam family: Bacterial large subunit ribosomal RNA
Source: RNAcentral